CGGGGCGUGGCGCAGCCAGGUAGCGCGCUUCGUUCGGGACGAAGAGGUCCCCGGUUCAAAUCCGGGCGCCCCGA
Molecule: transfer RNA, 74 nt
Filed under: Longimonas halophila
Lineage: Bacteria; Pseudomonadati; Rhodothermota; Rhodothermia; Rhodothermales; Salisaetaceae
Also listed under: 3 other names
Rfam family: tRNA
About the family: Transfer RNA (tRNA) molecules are approximately 80 nucleotides in length. Their secondary structure includes four short double-helical elements and three loops (D, anti-codon, and T loops). Further hydrogen bonds mediate the characteristic L-shaped molecular structure. tRNAs have two regions of fundamental functional importance: the anti-codon, which is responsible for specific mRNA codon recognition, and the 3' end, to which the tRNAs corresponding amino acid is attached (by aminoacyl-tRNA synthetases). tRNAs cope with the degeneracy of the genetic code in two manners: having more than one tRNA (with a specific anti-codon) for a particular amino acid; and 'wobble' base-pairing, i.e. permitting non-standard base-pairing at the 3rd anti-codon position.
Source: Rfam by way of RNAcentral